This 6175-nucleotide long non-coding RNA is filed under the name Sus scrofa (pig). RNAcentral describes it as "lncRNA (ENSSSCG00015056466.1)". The record is from RNAcentral. Lineage: Eukaryota; Metazoa; Chordata; Mammalia; Artiodactyla; Suidae.
ACUUAACAGAAGAAAGGCAACUUUUUUUUUUUUUAAUCCCAACUGGGCUAGAAGAGUUUAUAGGGCUUUUGUACAGGGAAUAAGUGGACAAUGAUUUACCUUAUUAUUUCUAAGACACCAUAGAUUGUUUCACUUACUAUCGUUUGUAUGCAUUUAGAAAGAAAAAAAAUACUGUGACAAUUAAAUCAGGAUAAACCAAUGAUAAGAUGAAUCCUAAUUUCUUUUUUUGUUUGUUUGUUUGUCUUUUCUUGGGCUGCACCUACGGCAUAUGGAGAUUCCCAGGCUAGGGUUCGAAUCGGAGCUGUAGCCACCGGCCUACGCCAGAGCCACAGCAACGCAGGAUCCGAGCCACAUCUGCGACCUACACCACAGCUCACAGCAACGCCGGAUCGUUAACCCACUGAGCAAGGCCAGGGAUCGAACCUGCAACCUCGUGGUUCUUAGUCGGAUUCGUUAACCACUGAGCCACGACGGGAACUCCUGAAUCCCAGUUUCAAAAAUGUUUUUUAAAACCAUGAGUUUAGACUCCAUGAAAUAUACAAGAUAAUUUAGAUCAGUAUGAUAGGAAAAUUAUUGUUCCUCAGAUAUCUCUUUAGAAAUUUGUAUCUCUUUUAUGUCUCUUCUGUUAAUAUCUUAAUUUAAGAUUUUUCAUCAUUAUUUUUGCCUGGCCAAUUAAUAUGCAAAAGCUAUUGUUUUUCCACCUCACUUCUCCUCCCUCCAAUCCAUUUUCAGUGCUGUUGUCAGACUAAUCUUCCUAAAAUACAACUCUGUCAAUGACUUGCACCGAUUAAAGAUUUUCAUUGAUUUCCUACAUACGUAAUUAAAUCCAUGCUUCUUAAAUGAGAAUCCAAGGCACUUUAUCAUGAGUCCCAAACUACUUCUGCAGCUUCAUCUUUCGUCACACCUCAGUGUGUAUUUUACCCCCACACUUAGCUUCUCAUCAUUUUCCAAGACACCAUCCACAUAGAGGUGAAUGUUCUGCUUUCUCUUUCAAUAUUAUUCUUUCUCAGUGUUAUUAUUAUCGCUCCCAGCCAUAAUUCUCUUUUCUUGGUAAACUCCUAUGCAUCCUUCAAGACCCAGCUCAAAUGGAACAUCCUUUUUAAAACAUUCUCCAUCUACUUCCAGGCAGCUGGGAAAGCUGUCUGGGAGAAUGGGUAAUCACUUACCCCCAUUCACUUCUUUAACAGAUGAGUAAAAAGAGACCAGAACAAGUAAAAUAUUUUGCCCAACAUUAUACACAAGCUGAUAGCCACUGUUAGCACAGGACUUCAUGAUUUCUUACUCCGAGUCCACUUUUUCUUCCACUUACAUGGACAUAAACGAAAGAAAAGAGUGAAAGUAAAAUCUGAAACCACACCUGAUCAGCAGAUCUCCCUAAUUAAUCUCCAGCAGGUCUGUCGGACGCUACUGAAACUUCCAAGAGGCAAACGGAUGUCCUGAGAAGUCAAUUACAAGUAGAUGCAAAUCUCUGUGCCCUUCUUUGGGUUACUUUUUACCUCUCAGAAUAAUAAUGCCUACCUCACAAAACAUCAUAGGAUUAAAUAAAAUUUGUGUGUUUCAAAUGCCUCUCACAGUGACCGACAUAAUGAAGGCUCAAGAAACAUUAGCUUCUUUGCCUGUGUCCUACUAGUGAGAUCUAAAUAUGAUUUUAGAUUAAAUCCAUUGUUAAACCACUAAUGUAGUUAAGGAAAAUUGUAUUUAAUACAUCUGAAAAAAAAAAAAACCACAGCUUUGGUAUAAAUUCCCCAGUGAGGGUGAUGGCAUCCUGUUUAUUUAAUACACACAUGUUCACUUUACAAAGGGGGCAGGUGGCACUGCCGUCAAAUGCCAUAGCUUUUGGCCAUUAGACCCCCAGCCUCAAAAAGAAAUGGAUCAGUUGGGCAAAUACAAGGAAGCAAACAAAUGCACAACUAUAAAUAUCCAUGUAGAACCCAGAAAUAGAGAGAGAUCAAAGGCGGAUUAUUGUGCUACCCAGGAGAGACACCAAGAAGAUUCACAUUGGGACAGCAAGAUCAAGGCACCCAGAAGACCUAUUCAGGACUUCCAACCAUAUCUGGAGGGAAAUCAAAGACUGAAUCUUGGGCGAUUGCAUUUCAAAAUAAAUAAAGACUCCUCUACUUCCUUCACAAAAGAUCAGCCAAGCUAAAUUUAUGCUCUAGAAUAUUACCCUGGGAGUUGUCCCUGGAAGAAAUCAUUUUAACCCUAAUACCGCUCUUUGUUUUGAAUCCAAGUUUUCCGCCUUUGCCCACGCAGCCAUGAGCAGGCAAAUUAGAAAAGCACCCAAUCAAAAAAUAUUUAUUGAGCAAACUGAUGCAACGUGCUAUACGAGGGGAAGUGCCAGUCCCCAGAAGUUAUGGAAAUACCUCCCGAGUAGUUUAAAUUCCCUGUUAUGAGUUUCUUCUUUAGGGUGAGACACUGCCGUUUUUCUUUUGAAGAUCCUCCUUUAAGUGUCAAAAUCCCUGCUGUGAAGCUUGACAACAUCUUUCCAGAAGAGAUGAAUUGCUGACAUUUGAAAGCCUAGACUCGGAAGAGGUCAGGAAACAUUAAAAGACAAGAGGGAAGAAAGGUAAGAAGAGAAUGAAGAAACACAACUUCCUACUUCAGUGACGUUAUGGAUUGUGUGAUAUCAAGCCAAAUUAGUAAUAGAUGUUAUCCAUACGCUAACUUCUAUCAAUUCAUAGAGCCCCAUGCUAAGGAGUGGGAGCCCAUUUCUGGACAGGGGAAGAGAGUUGAAGCGGUGGUACCCAAAACAUGUAUUUUCUAACCCUACUACAGGUGAAGACCACAAAGUCAGAAGCCAGAAUGUCUAGAUUUAAAUGUGGGCUCUAGCACUUAACCCUGAUUCUGUGCACAUCACUGCACCACUCGGACAUCAAGUUUCUUUACCUAGGAAAUAGAGUACAGGAAGAUUAUUAUAACUGGUAAGGGUACAGUUGCAAAAUAUUUAAUCUCUAAAUUAAGUAGAGAUAAUUUAUUAUCAGGGAUUACAUGGCUUACAAAAUCAUAGGAAAGCAGGAAAGGCCAACUCUAGACUGACUUCCCCAAACGCUUCCCAGUCCCCACCAUCACACUGCUUCUGCCAUGGUGGCAGAAGUGCUGUCACCACCAGUGAAAGAAGGUGCCACGUUACGAAGCCGCCAACUGAAAACCAUCAUGCCGGUGCCACAGCCCUGCCGUGCAAGAUGCAUGUCUGCUAUCUGCUCUUUCCCCUCCUUAACUCAGUUCUGAAUCAAAAGCUCCCAGCUGGGCCUCUCAUUGCUAGAACCCAAAUCACAUGCACCUCUCUAGCUGUAAAAGUUUAUGGCCCUGAGAUCUUGAACUUACAGCACAUCUAGUUUAGGGGGAUACUGUUGGCAAUGCAACCUGGAGCACGGAUGAGGUGCCACUUCAGGAAUGACAUGACACUACAUUACUCCAGCUGCCAAGAUCAUUGGUAGCUGGCAUUGCCCAGCUAAGUCUUUCUCUAGGAAUUACUGUCAGUUGCAGAGAGCUAACUCACUCAAGAUCAGACCCGCAUCUUGGGGUAUUGUAGGUCUAAUUACUGAUCCAUAAGAGGGUAUAAAGAACCAGACCCCUUGUCUCAAGGCAGGUCAUCUUUGAAGGUCAUCUCAGCUCCAGAGAUCCUCAUGCAAUUGAGUCCUUUGUCAUGACUGCCUCAUAGUCUCCCCUUAUCCUUGCCAGACUCACGGCAUAUGGAAAUUCCCAGGCCAGGGAUCGAAUCUGAGCCACACUGCAACCUACAUCACAGCUACAGCAAUACCAGAACCUUAACCCAGCAUGCCGGGCCAGGGAUCAAACCUGUACCUCAGCAGUGAUCAGAGCUGCUACAGAGACAAUGCUGGAUCCUUCACCUGCUGCACUGCAGCAGGAACUCCUUCCUCACAGUUCUUUUCUCUGCCCAUCCUAUGCCCUUUAUUCCCCACAGCUAUUGAUCUCAUAAUCACUCCAAUAACAACUUCCUGUAUACAAGUAUUCACUUCAGAAUCUAUUUCCUGAGGAACCGCCCUAACACAGUCAUGUCAGAAGUAGGUGGAAUAAAGGUUGAGUAAGCCAACUCUCAAUAGUCACCAUAAUUUCAGUAUGAGCAUUAAACCAUAUAAUAAGUAUGAAAAAAAAAUCUCUAGAAUUUCACACAAUGAAAUGCCUGGCCCAUGGUGAGCCAAUAUAUAUUUGCUUAGUAAUAACAAAAUAUAACUAGCAUUUGUUGAGCUCUUACUACAUCUCCAGAUACUACUCUAAGUUCUUUGCCUAAACUAACUCAUCUAAACCUCAUUAUAAGCUUAGGAAGUACAUACUACCAUUAUCUGCUUUACAAAUGAGGUAAAUAAGACACAAAGAGGUUAAUGUCAAGGUGAAAUAGGCCGUAAGUAGCAGAAAUAGAGGAUUUUACCCCUUUAGUCUAAUUUUAUCCUGCAAGGUUAAAGUCUACAGAGUCUGUAGUCUUAACCACUUUUCUGUAGUCUCUGCAUUGACUUUUCAAAAAUGUGAUGGGAAAAGAGAACUAAGGGAUUCUUACUGGGGCCUGUGGGAGGCUAACUAAUGACCCCCUUAAACUUCCCAUGACUGAAUCCCUGGAAUCUGCGACUGUGUUAUAUUAUAUGGCAAAAGGGACUUUAGGGAUGUAAUUAAAUUAAAAACAUUGAGGUGAGGAAAUUACGCUAGAUUAUUUCCGUGGGCUGUAAACAUAAUCACACAUCCUCAAAAGAGAGUGGCAGAGGAGUACCCAUUGUGGCUCUGCCAAAACGAAUCUGACUAGCAUCCAUGAGGACGCAGGUUCGAUCCCUGGCCUCACUCGGUGGGGUAAGGGUCGGGCAUUGCUGUGAGCUAUGGUAUAGGUCACCUGGGAACCGCCAUAUGCUUAUUUGAUGGAUUAUGUAGGAACAUCUAUUGGGGAAUUAGGAGUCAGACCUGUGAGUGAUUAUAGGUUAAUAGGUAGAACACACUAAACUCUGAAAAUACUGGCUUUGGGCUUGGAGACUACCUACCACCAUCUACUUCAGUACACGGGACAGUUGCCAGGUGAGCAGUGAGAUUCAGAAAUAUAAUAUGGGUACUUGGUCAUCAGGAUUAAUAAGUCAAACUUCUCUUCUCCCAAAGUCUAAUUUCCAGGAGUUAUACAUUACACAUAGGCCAGGUCAACUAAUGUAUAAUACAUGGAAAGAUUCAUACUUAAUUUUCAGAGUAGCUUUUUCUCCAUGCCACCUGAUAAGUAGCUUUAGACAUAAUCAAAAUAAGAGCCAGAGCUGAGACCCACAUAAAGUCAAAGAUGAGACAAACAAGACCAGAUCCCAUCUGCUAAUCAUCUCUCAGAAGGUGGGAGAAAAAAGGGGAGGGCUCCCUAUUCAAGGGCCAUUAGAACCUUCCUUGGAAAACAGCAAAUGCCUUCCAGAUUUAGAAAGCCUCACUCUCUCUCAACAUUCUUAGCCCCUGAGCCAGCCUCCUUAAAUCCUUUCUGGAACAAAGUGAAAAUACUGAAAUAAAUACAAUAAGCAGUUCCCUUUACCUUCACUAUCUAGUUAUAAACAGGCUUGGCAACAACUAUGGUAGGAGUCAGAAAGUGGGAGAAAUGGUCAAUUCCUGAGUAAUCUUAAUUAAUCAUCUCAAGGAGCCGUGCAAAUAAGGUGAUCUAGAACCAGUGCUUCUCAAGCUAUUGGUGGUGAGAGAACAAAUUUAUUUAAAAUUUCCAAUCCAUUAUGGUCCAAUAACCUUGUAUAUUCGAUCAAAAGGAAUUAAAGGAAGAGUGAUAUGGGAAAAAAAGGCAUGAAAUACAAGCCCAAUUUAUUUUACUUAUUAGAUACACAAACAUAAAAUUACUCUUUCAAAAAGCUAUUGGUUUCUGAAGAGUUAUGCAAUCUCUGUACUUACCCUGUCACCAGUUGGUAACAAACAGCUCAAGGAUGGAAUCGGUCCAUGGAACACAAUUUGAGAAGCUCUGAUCUGUAUCAAGAGCCUCUAGGUUGAAAAUUUAAGUAAGUUACUGCUAGACUCAAUAUGCAAGGUGAAAUUCUCUAAUGUCAGUACUAUUUCUAGGUAACUAGUCAAGUAUGUCUCUUAUGUACACAUUCUUCUAACUCUGAACAGUCUCCACGGUCUUCUUUGAGUAAUUGAGAUACUUCUGUACCCCCUAUAUAAAGAUAUUUGCUGUUUCUACAAUUACCCCUUACCCUGUCCAUAU